This 937-nucleotide ribosomal RNA is filed under the name Thaxterogaster chalybeus. Its description in RNAcentral is "Cortinarius chalybeus partial large subunit ribosomal RNA". It matches the Rfam family "Eukaryotic large subunit ribosomal RNA", at positions 39 to 962 of the family's 3401-position model. The record is from RNAcentral. Lineage: Eukaryota; Fungi; Basidiomycota; Agaricomycetes; Agaricales; Cortinariaceae.
CAUAUCAAUAAGCGGAGGAAAAGAAACUAACAAGGAUUCCCCUAGUAACUGCGAGUGAAGCGGGAAAAGCUCAAAUUUUAAAUCUGGCAGUCUCUGGCUGUCCGAGUUGUAAUCUAGAGAAGUGUUAUCCGCGCUGGACCGUGUACAAGUCUCCUGGAAUGGAGCGUCAUAGAGGGUGAGAAUCCCGUCUUUGACACGGACUGCCAGGGCUUUGUGAUGCGCUCUCAAAGAGUCGAGUUGUUUGGGAAUGCAGCUCAAAAUGGGUGGUAAAUUCCAUCUAAAGCUAAAUAUUGGCGAGAGACCGAUAGCGAACAAGUACCGUGAGGGAAAGAUGAAAAGAACUUUGGAAAGAGAGUUAAACAGUACGUGAAAUUGCUGAAAGGGAAACGCUUGAAGUCAGUCGCGUUGGCCAGGGAUCAACCUUGCUUUUGCUUGGUGCACUUUCUGGUUGACGGGUCAGCAUCAAUUUUGACCAUUGGAAAAAGGUCAGGGGAAUGUGGCAUCCUCGGAUGUGUUAUAGCCCUUAGCUGCAUACAAUGGUUGGGAUUGAGGAACUCAGCACGCCGAAAGGCCGGGUUUUUAACCACGUACGUGCUUAGGAUGCUGGCAUAAUGGCUUUAAUCGACCCGUCUUGAAACACGGACCAAGGAGUCUAACAUACCUGCGAGUGUUUGGGUGGAAAACCCGAGCGCGCAAUGAAAGUGAAAGUUGAGAUCCCUGUCGUGGGGAGCAUCGACGCCCGGACCAGACCUUUUGUGACGGCCCCGCGGUAGAGCAUGUAUGUUGGGACCCGAAAGAUGGUGAACUAUGCCUGAAUAGGGUGAAGCCAGAGGAAACUCUGGUGGAGGCUCGUAGCGAUUCUGACGUGCAAAUCGAUCGUCAAAUUUGGGUAUAGGGGCGAAAGACUAAUCGAACCAUCUAGUAGCUGGUUCCUGCC